Non-coding RNA from Cucurbita pepo subsp. pepo (vegetable marrow), 1304 nucleotides. NCBI's taxonomy places the organism in Eukaryota, Viridiplantae, Streptophyta, Magnoliopsida, Cucurbitales, Cucurbitaceae. The record is from RefSeq and is a predicted model, not a curated record.
UCUUCUGAAAGUACCUUCUAUUUUAAUUCAAUCUCUGACUUCAAAGGGUUGCCUUGCUCCCAGUCUUCGGUCUUCAGGGCGAAGGUUUUUAAGCUGCGACAACGCUGGGGCUGGGCUUUUCAAUAGAGGCUGCCGGUGAUGGCUGACGACAAAGGGGCGAUUGUGAUGGUCAGCAGAGGCAGAGAGCGGGAUCUAGAGCUUCUAAUUCCGGCCGCCGGCUCCCCAAAUGACGAUGACUCUUGCAAGCCCUCGUCCUCUUCAGCGUCAUCGCCGCAGACUGGCCGUGAGACAUUUUACAGAGUCUUUAGGAGCUGGGCCUCAAAAAAGUUCAUGACCGGAUGCGUUAUUCUAUUUCCAAUUGCAAUAACUUUCUAUAUAACAUGGUGGUUUAUACACUUCGUGGAUGGAUUCUUUUCUCCGAUCUAUGCUCAACUUGGAAUUGAUAUCUUUGGUCUUGGAUUUGCAACAUCUGUUACGUUUAUCUUCCUUGUUGGGGUAUUCAUGUCGUCAUGGUUAGGUGCUUCUAUUUUGGCUCUUGGAGAGUGGUUCAUCAAGCGCAUGCCAUUUGUUCGUCAUAUUUACAAUGCUUCUAAGCAGAUUAGUUCUGCUAUUUCACCAGAUCAAAAUACCAAAGCCUUCAAGGAAGUUGCCAUCAUUAGGCACCCCCGUAUUGGUGAAUAUGCAUUUGGGUUCAUUACUUCAACUGUCACCCUCCAGGAGGAGGCAACUUCAACCAAUAAUACCCUUACAUUACAUGCAUGCCCAUUGCUCAUCUUGAGCGUGAAUAUCAUUGACGUUGUUAGAAUUAUUCUGGAGAGGAGGAGCUGUGUUGUGUAUAUGUUCCCACCAAUCAUCUUUACAUUGGCGAUGUUUUCCUAGUCAACUCUGAGGAUGUGAUUAGACCAAAUCUAUCAGUUCGGGAAGGAAUCGAAAUCGUCGUGUCUGGAGGCAUGUCAAUGCCGCAGAUUCUAUCCAUACUGAAUCCACAUAUUCGACCAAUUGACAGUAGAAGAAUGACUAGAAGCUGAGACUGAAGAUUGUGCCAUUGCAGGCCGCUAAUCCAUAUACGAUCUUGGUGUACCAAUGUAGCUGUCGGAGUAGUUGCUCUGGCUCCUGGGCAUCAAUACCCUUAGACGGUAAACCGUAACUUAUAAUAUAAAUUUAAUUCUGGUUGUUGAAUUUGAUAUCAAUCAUUUGUUGGAUGGGGGUGAGAACACUUGUUGAUCCAGGAUAGAAAUGGGUGUGUUUUAGAAUUUUUAACUUCAUUCUAAUUCAAUCGAGAAUGUAUAUUUUCUUCUUGAUGA